ACUCCUACGGGAGGCAGCAGUAGGGAAUAUUGGACAAUGGGCGAAAGCCUGAUCCAGCAAUGCCGCGUGAGUGAUGAAGGCCUAUGGGUCGUAAAGCUCUGUCGUAUAGGAAUAAAUGCCUGUGGUUAAUACCCGCAGGAGCUGAAGGUACUAUACAAGAAAGCACCGGCUAACUACGUGCCAGCAGCCGCGGUAAUACGUAGGGUGCUAGCGUUGUUCGGAAUUACUGGGCGUAAAGCGCAUGUAGGCGGCUAUUUAAGUCAGAUGUGAAAGCCCUGGGCUCAACCUGGGACGUGCAUCUGAUACUAUUUAGCUUGAGUACAGGAGAGGUAGUGGAAUUUCUGGUGUAGUGGUGAAAUACGUAGAUAUCAGAAGGAACAUCGGUGGCGAAGGCGGCUGCCUGGCCUUGUACUGACGCUGAGAUGCGAAAGCGUGGGAGCAAACAGGAUUAGAUACCCUGGUAGACUGUCA
Molecule: ribosomal RNA, 471 nt
Filed under: uncultured bacterium
Lineage: Bacteria
Description: bacterial SSU rRNA
Rfam family: Bacterial small subunit ribosomal RNA
Source: RNAcentral